Molecule: ribosomal RNA, 468 nt
Filed under: uncultured bacterium
Lineage: Bacteria
Description: partial 16S ribosomal RNA
Rfam family: Bacterial small subunit ribosomal RNA
Source: RNAcentral
GAUGAACGCUGGCGGCGUGCUUAACACAUGCCAGUCGAACGGUGAAGGCGGAGCUUGCUCUGCUGGAUCAGUGGCAAACGGGUGAGUAACACGUGAGCAAUCUGCCCCUGACUCUGGGAUAAGCGCUGGAAACGGCGUCUAAUACUGGAUACGAGCUGCGAAGGCAUCUUCAGCAGCUGGAAAGAACUUCGGUCAGGGAUGAGCUCGCGGCCUAUCAGCUUGUUGGUGAGGUAACGGCUCACCAAGGCGUCGACGGGUAGCCGGCCUGAGAGGGUGACCGGCCACACUGGGACUGAGACACGGCCCAGACUCCUACGGGAGGCAGCAGUGGGGAAUAUUGCACAAUGGGCGAAAGCCUGAUGCAGCAACGCCGCGUGAGGGACGACGGCCUUCGGGUUGUAAACCUCUUUUAGCAGGGAAGAAGCGAAAGUGACGGUACCUGCAGAAAAAGCGCCGGCUAACUACGUG